AUCAUGGCUCAGAACGAACGCUGGCGGCAUGCCUAACACAUGCAAGUCGAACGAACUCUUCGGAGUUAGUGGCGCACGGGUGCGUAACGCGUGGGAAUCUGCCCUUGGGUACGGAAUAACUCAGAGAAAUUUGUGCUAAUACCGUAUAAUGUCUUCGGACCAAAGAUUUAUCGCCCAAGGAUGAGCCCGCGUAAGAUUAGCUAGUUGGUGGGGUAAAGGCCUACCAAGGCUACGAUCUUUAGCUGGUCUGAGAGGAUGAUCAGCCACACUGGGACUGAGACACGGCCCAGACUCCUACGGGAGGCAGCAGUGGGGAAUAUUGGACAAUGGGCGAAAGCCUGAUCCAGCAAUGCCGCGUGUGUGAAGAAGGUCUUCGGAUCGUAAAGCACUUUCGACAGGGACGAUGAUGACGGUACCUGUAGAAGAAGCCCCGGCUAACUUCGUG
RNAcentral lists this ribosomal RNA (445 nucleotides) under uncultured bacterium. RNAcentral describes it as "bacterial SSU rRNA". It matches the Rfam family "Bacterial small subunit ribosomal RNA", at positions 16 to 507 of the family's 1533-position model. The record is from RNAcentral.